CUGAGUAGGGAAGUGUGUGAGCCAUGCGUCAAGAAAAGCCGCUAUUGUUUUACUUAAGCCCGUACCGUAAACCGACACAGGUGGAUGAGGAGAGAAUCCUAAGGCCGACGGGAGAAGCAUUGUUAAGGGACUCGGCAAAAUGACUCCGUAACUUCGGGAGAAGGAGUGCCAGCGAGAGCUGGCCGCAGAGAAUUGGCCCAAGCAACUGUUUAGCAAAAGCACAGGUCUAUGCAAAACCGUAAGGUGAAGUAUAUGGGCUGACGCCUGCCCGGUGCUGGAAGGUUAAGAGGAGAGGCUAGCGGCAACGCGAAGCUUUGAAUUUAAGCCCCAGUAAACGGCGGCCGUAACAAUAACGGUCCUAAGGUAGCGAAAUUCCUUGUCGGGUAAGUUCCGACCCGCACGAAAGGCGUAAUGAUUUGGGCACUGUCUCAACAAUGCACCCGGUGAAAUUGAAAUACCAGUGAAGAUGCUGGUUACCUGCGCCAGGACGGAAAGACCCCAUGGAGCUUUACUCCAGCUUGAUACUGGGAUUCGGUAUUGCAUGUACAGGAUAGGUGGGAGGCUAGGAAGUGAUAACGCCAGUUGUCACGGAGCCGCUGUUGGGAUACCACCCUUGCAGUAUUGGAUUUCUAACCAGCGACCAUGAACUGGUCGGGGGACAAUGUCAGGUGGGGAGUUUGACUGGGGCGGUCGCCUCCGAAAGGGUAUCGGAGGCGCUCAAAGGUUCCCUCAGAAUGGACGGAAACCAUUCGAAGAGUGCAAAGGCAGAAGGGAGCUUGACUGCGACACCGACGGGUGGAGCAGGUACGAAAGUAGGACUUAGUGAUCCGGUGGUAUAAAGUGGGAUUGCCAUCGCUCAACGGAUAAAAGCUACCCUGGGAUAACAGGCUUAUCUCUCCCAAGAGUUCACAUCGACGGAGUGGUUUGGCACCUCGAUGUCGGCUCAUCGCAUCCUGGGGCUGAAGUAGGUCCCAAGGGUUGGGCUGUUCGCCCAUUAAAGCGGUACGCGAGCUGGGUUCAGAACGUCGUGAGACAGUUCGGUCCCUAUCCGGCGUGGGCGUAGGAUAUUUGAGAGGAGCUGUCCUUAGUACGAGAGGACCGGGAUGGACUGGCCGCUGGUGUAUCUGUUGCAUACCAAAUGCAUGGCAGAGUAGCCAAGCCGGGACGGGAUAAACGCUGAAGGCAUCUAAGCGUGAAGCCCCCCUCAAGAUGAGAUAUCCCUACGUAAGUAGUAAGACCCCUUGAAGACGACGAGGUAGAUAGGUCAGAGGUGGAAGUACAGUAAUGUAUGGAGCUGACUGAUACUAAUCGGUCGAGGGCAUGACCA
RNAcentral lists this ribosomal RNA (1327 nucleotides) under metagenome. RNAcentral describes it as "bacterial LSU rRNA". It matches the Rfam family "Bacterial large subunit ribosomal RNA", at positions 1579 to 2925 of the family's 2925-position model. The record is from RNAcentral.